UGGGGAAUAUUGGACAAUGGGGGCAACCCUGAUCCAGCAAUGCCGCGUGAGUGAAGAAGGCCUUCGGGUUGUAAAGCUCUUUUGUCAGGGAAGAAACGGUAGUAGCGAAUAACUAUUACUAAUGACGGUACCUGAAGAAUAAGCACCGGCUAACUACGUGCCAGCAGCCGCGGUAAUACGUAGGGUGCAAGCGUUAAUCGGAAUUACUGGGCGUAAAGCGUGCGCAGGCGGUUGUGUAAGUCAGAUGUGAAAUCCCCGGGCUCAACCUGGGAAUUGCAUUUGAGACUGCACGGCUAGAGUGUGUCAGAGGGGGGUAGAAUUCCACGUGUAGCAGUGAAAUGCGUAGAUAUGUGGAGGAAUACCGAUGGCGAAGGCAGCCCCCUGGGAUAACACUGACGCUCAUGCACGAAAGCGUGGGGAGCAAACAGGAUUAGAUACCCAAGUAGUCCCUGAGCGGGCUGGCAAGGCGCAU
This 472-nucleotide ribosomal RNA is filed under the name uncultured bacterium. Its description in RNAcentral is "bacterial SSU rRNA". It matches the Rfam family "Bacterial small subunit ribosomal RNA", at positions 355 to 825 of the family's 1533-position model. The record is from RNAcentral.